This 2488-nucleotide ribosomal RNA is filed under the name Staphylococcus aureus. Its description in RNAcentral is "partial 23S ribosomal RNA". It matches the Rfam family "Bacterial large subunit ribosomal RNA", at positions 430 to 2925 of the family's 2925-position model. The record is from RNAcentral. Lineage: Bacteria; Bacillati; Bacillota; Bacilli; Caryophanales; Staphylococcaceae.
AAUUCCGUCGGAAUCUGGGAGGACCAUCUCCUAAGGCUAAAUACUCUCUAGUGACCGAUAGUGAACCAGUACCGUGAGGGAAAGGUGAAAAGCACCCCGGAAGGGGAGUGAAAUAGAACCUGAAACCGUGUGCUUACAAGUAGUCAGAGCCCGUUAAUGGGUGAUGGCGUGCCUUUUGUAGAAUGAACCGGCGAGUUACGAUUUGAUGCAAGGUUAAGCAGUAAAUGUGGAGCCGUAGCGAAAGCGAGUCUGAAUAGGGCGUUUAGUAUUUGGUCGUAGACCCGAAACCAGGUGAUCUACCCUUGGUCAGGUUGAAGUUCAGGUAACACUGAAUGGAGGACCGAACCGACUUACGUUGAAAAGUGAGCGGAUGAACUGAGGGUAGCGGAGAAAUUCCAAUCGAACCUGGAGAUAGCUGGUUCUCUCCGAAAUAGCUUUAGGGCUAGCCUCAAGUGAUGAUUAUUGGAGGUAGAGCACUGUUUGGACGAGGGGCCCCUCUCGGGUUACCGAAUUCAGACAAACUCCGAAUGCCAAUUAAUUUAACUUGGGAGUCAGAACAUGGGUGAUAAGGUCCGUGUUCGAAAGGGAAACAGCCCAGACCACCAGCUAAGGUCCCAAAAUAUAUGUUAAGUGGAAAAGGAUGUGGCGUUGCCCAGACAACUAGGAUGUUGGCUUAGAAGCAGCCAUCAUUUAAAGAGUGCGUAAUAGCUCACUAGUCGAGUGACACUGCGCCGAAAAUGUACCGGGGCUAAACAUAUUACCGAAGCUGUGGAUUGUCCUUUGGACAAUGGUAGGAGAGCGUUCUAAGGGCGUUGAAGCAUGAUCGUAAGGACAUGUGGAGCGCUUAGAAGUGAGAAUGCCGGUGUGAGUAGCGAAAGACGGGUGAGAAUCCCGUCCACCGAUUGACUAAGGUUUCCAGAGGAAGGCUCGUCCGCUCUGGGUUAGUCGGGUCCUAAGCUGAGGCCGACAGGCGUAGGCGAUGGAUAACAGGUUGAUAUUCCUGUACCACCUAUAAUCGUUUUAAUCGAUGGGGGGACGCAGUAGGAUAGGCGAAGCGUGCGAUUGGAUUGCACGUCUAAGCAGUAAGGCUGAGUAUUAGGCAAAUCCGGUACUCGUUAAGGCUGAGCUGUGAUGGGGAGAAGACAUUGUGUCUUCGAGUCGUUGAUUUCACACUGCCGAGAAAAGCCUCUAGAUAGAAAAUAGGUGCCCGUACCGCAAACCGACACAGGUAGUCAAGAUGAGAAUUCUAAGGUGAGCGAGCGAACUCUCGUUAAGGAACUCGGCAAAAUGACCCCGUAACUUCGGGAGAAGGGGUGCUCUUUAGGGUUAACGCCCAGAAGAGCCGCAGUGAAUAGGCCCAAGCGACUGUUUAUCAAAAACACAGGUCUCUGCUAAACCGUAAGGUGAUGUAUAGGGGCUGACGCCUGCCCGGUGCUGGAAGGUUAAGAGGAGUGGUUAGCUUCUGCGAAGCUACGAAUCGAAGCCCCAGUAAACGGCGGCCGUAACUAUAACGGUCCUAAGGUAGCGAAAUUCCUUGUCGGGUAAGUUCCGACCCGCACGAAAGGCGUAACGAUUUGGGCACUGUCUCAACGAGAGACUCGGUGAAAUCAUAGUACCUGUGAAGAUGCAGGUUACCCGCGACAGGACGGAAAGACCCCGUGGAGCUUUACUGUAGCCUGAUAUUGAAAUUCGGCACAGCUUGUACAGGAUAGGUAGGAGCCUUUGAAACGUGAGCGCUAGCUUACGUGGAGGCGCUGGUGGGAUACUACCCUAGCUGUGUUGGCUUUCUAACCCGCACCACUUAUCGUGGUGGGAGACAGUGUCAGGCGGGCAGUUUGACUGGGGCGGUCGCCUCCUAAAAGGUAACGGAGGCGCUCAAAGGUUCCCUCAGAAUGGUUGGAAAUCAUUCAUAGAGUGUAAAGGCAUAAGGGAGCUUGACUGCGAGACCUACAAGUCGAGCAGGGUCGAAAGACGGACUUAGUGAUCCGGUGGUUCCGCAUGGAAGGGCCAUCGCUCAACGGAUAAAAGCUACCCCGGGGAUAACAGGCUUAUCUCCCCCAAGAGUUCACAUCGACGGGGAGGUUUGGCACCUCGAUGUCGGCUCAUCGCAUCCUGGGGCUGUAGUCGGUCCCAAGGGUUGGGCUGUUCGCCCAUUAAAGCGGUACGCGAGCUGGGUUCAGAACGUCGUGAGACAGUUCGGUCCCUAUCCGUCGUGGGCGUAGGAAAUUUGAGAGGAGCUGUCCUUAGUACGAGAGGACCGGGAUGGACAUACCUCUGGUGUACCAGUUGUCGUGCCAACGGCAUAGCUGGGUAGCUAUGUGUGGACGGGAUAAGUGCUGAAAGCAUCUAAGCAUGAAGCCCCCCUCAAGAUGAGAUUUCCCAACUUCGGUUAUAAGAUCCCUCAAAGAUGAUGAGGUUAAUAGGUUCGAGGUGGAAGCAUGGUGACAUGUGGAGCUGACGAAUACUAAUCGAUCGAAGACUUAAUCAA